GCUGGCGGCAUGCCUUACACAUGCAAGUCGAACGGCAGCACGGGUGCUUGCACCUGGUGGCGAGUGGCGAACGGGUGAGUAAUACAUCGGAACAUGUCCUGUAGUGGGGGAUAGCCCGGCGAAAGCCGGAUUAAUACCGCAUACGAUCUACGGAUGAAAGCGGGGGACCUUCGGGCCUCGCGCUAUAGGGUUGGCCGAUGGCUGAUUAGCUAGUUGGUGGGGUAAAGGCCUACCAAGGCGACGAUCAGUAGCUGGUCUGAGAGGACGACCAGCCACACUGGGACUGAGACACGGCCCACACUCCUACGGGAGGCAGCAGUGGGGAAUUUUGGACAAUGGGCGAAAGCCUGAUCCAGCAAUGCCGCGUGUGUGAAGAAGGCCUUCGGGUUGUAAAGCACUUUUGUCCGGAAAGAAAUCCUUGGUUCUAAUAUAGCCGGGGGAUGACGGUACCGGAAGAAUAAGCACCGGCUAACUACGUGCCAGCAGCCGCGGUAAUACGUAGGGUGCGAGCGUUAAUCGGAAUUACUGGGCGUAAAGCGUGCGCAGGCGGUUUGCUAAGACCGAUGUGAAAUCCCCGGGCUCAACCUGGGAACUGCAUUGGUGACUGGCAGGCUAGAGUAUGGCAGAUGGGGGUAGAAUUCCACGUGUAGCAGUGAAAUGCGUACAGAUGUGGAGGAAUACCGAUGGCGAACGCAGCCCCCUGGGCCAAUACUGACGCUC
This 720-nucleotide ribosomal RNA is filed under the name uncultured Burkholderia sp. Its description in RNAcentral is "bacterial SSU rRNA". It matches the Rfam family "Bacterial small subunit ribosomal RNA", at positions 35 to 748 of the family's 1533-position model. The record is from RNAcentral. Lineage: Bacteria; Pseudomonadati; Pseudomonadota; Betaproteobacteria; Burkholderiales; Burkholderiaceae.